GACGAACGCUGGCGGCGUGCUUAACACACGCAAGUCGAGCGGAAAGGCCCUUUCGGGGGUACUCGAGCGGCGAACGGGUGAGUAACACGUGAGUAAUCUGCCCCUGGCUUUGGGAUAGCCACCGGAAACGGUGAUUAAUACCGUAUACGACCACUUCUCUCAUGGGAUAGUGGUGUAACGUUUUUCGGCCAGGGAUGUGCUCGCGGCCUAUCAGCUUGAUGGUGAGGUAAUGGCUCACCAUGGCUUCGACGGGUAGCCGGCCUGAGAGGGUGACCGGUCACACUGGGACUGAGACACGGCCCAGACUCCUACGGGAGGCAGCAGUGGGGAAUAUUGGACAAUGGGCGGAAGCCUGAUCCAGCAACGCCGCGUGAGGGAUGACGGCCUUCGGGUUGUAAACCUCUUACAGCAGGGACGAAGCGCAAGUGACGGUACCUGCAGAAGAAGCACCGGCCAACUACGUGCCAGCCGCCGCGGUAA
This 480-nucleotide ribosomal RNA is filed under the name uncultured bacterium. RNAcentral's name for it is "partial 16S ribosomal RNA". It matches the Rfam family "Bacterial small subunit ribosomal RNA", at positions 28 to 523 of the family's 1533-position model. The record is from RNAcentral.